This 86-nucleotide non-coding RNA is filed under the name uncultured Prevotella sp. The record is from RNAcentral. Lineage: Bacteria; Pseudomonadati; Bacteroidota; Bacteroidia; Bacteroidales; Prevotellaceae.
UCUGGGGGUGCCCGCUCAUUUGAACGGUGCUGAGAUUAUACCCUAAAACCUGAUCCGGGUAAUGCCGGCGUAGGUAGGAUAAGAUU